CUCGGUCCUGGUUAGGUCAUUAACAACAUUACUAACCACUGUUAGCAAAUUUUUUAAACAAUUUGUUUUUGCAAUGAAUACAAGGGUGCCUAUGCUACAAGCUACAACUCCUCCCGAGGAAAGGCAGAGAGAGAGAGACACACUAAUGA
Molecule: long non-coding RNA, 149 nt
Organism: Helicoverpa zea (corn earworm)
Lineage: Eukaryota; Metazoa; Arthropoda; Insecta; Lepidoptera; Noctuidae
Exons: 2
Source: RefSeq, a predicted model, not a curated record